UGCGUAGGCGGAAUAUUAAGUCAGUGGUGAAAUCCUGCGGCUCAACCGUAGAACCGCCAUUGAUACUGAUAUUCUUGAAUGUAGUUGAGGUAGGCGGAAUGUGUAAUGUAGCGGUGAAAUGCUUAGAUAUUACACAGAACACCGAUUGCGAAGGCAGCUUACUAAACUAUGAUUGACGCUGAGGCACGAAAGCGUGGGGAGCGAACAGGAUUAGAUACCCUGGUAGUCC
This 229-nucleotide ribosomal RNA is filed under the name uncultured bacterium. RNAcentral's name for it is "partial 16S ribosomal RNA". It matches the Rfam family "Bacterial small subunit ribosomal RNA", at positions 568 to 796 of the family's 1533-position model. The record is from RNAcentral.